GGUGACCAUGGCGGAGGUGAAACACCUGUUCCCAUUCCGAACACAGAAGUUAAGCCCUCCAGCGCCGAUGGUACUGCAACCGGGAGGUUGUGGGAGAGUAGGACGUCGCCG
Molecule: ribosomal RNA, 111 nt
Filed under: Candidatus Hakubella thermalkaliphila
Lineage: Bacteria; Bacillati; Actinomycetota; Candidatus Hakubellales; Candidatus Hakubellaceae
Source: RNAcentral